Molecule: transfer RNA, 71 nt
Filed under: Candidatus Pacearchaeota archaeon
Lineage: Archaea; Nanobdellati
Description: tRNA-His
Rfam family: tRNA
About the family: Transfer RNA (tRNA) molecules are approximately 80 nucleotides in length. Their secondary structure includes four short double-helical elements and three loops (D, anti-codon, and T loops). Further hydrogen bonds mediate the characteristic L-shaped molecular structure. tRNAs have two regions of fundamental functional importance: the anti-codon, which is responsible for specific mRNA codon recognition, and the 3' end, to which the tRNAs corresponding amino acid is attached (by aminoacyl-tRNA synthetases). tRNAs cope with the degeneracy of the genetic code in two manners: having more than one tRNA (with a specific anti-codon) for a particular amino acid; and 'wobble' base-pairing, i.e. permitting non-standard base-pairing at the 3rd anti-codon position.
Source: RNAcentral
GCAGUAGUAGUUUAAUGGCAGAAUAUUGGCUUGUGGUGCUGAAGACGCGAGUUCGAUUCUCGCCUACUGCC